Molecule: ribosomal RNA, 253 nt
Filed under: uncultured bacterium
Lineage: Bacteria
Description: partial 16S ribosomal RNA
Rfam family: Bacterial small subunit ribosomal RNA
Source: RNAcentral
GACAGAGGGGGCAAGCGUUGCUCGGAAUUACUGGGCGUAAAGGGCGCGUAGGCGGGAUGGCAAGUCGGUCGUGAAAUCCUUCGGCUCAACCGAAGAACGUCGAUCGAUACUGCUGUUCUUGAGGGUUGCAGAGGAGACUGGAAUUCCCGGUGUAGCGGUGAAAUGUGUAGAGAUCGGGAGGAACACCGGUGGCGAAGGCGGCUCUCUGGGACGGUACUGACGCUGAGACGCGAAAGCGUGGGGAGCGAACAGG